CACAAAUACACACAUACAAUCUCUCUCUAUCUCUACACUCUUUCUCACUCUAACUAUCCACCACACAACCACCCAACCACCACCCACUUGCCACCACCACCCAUCUCUCCCACCGCACCACCCGCAUCCCCAACUAAACAGAAUAACAAAUACCUUAAUAUCCUCAUUAAAAACUCCAUAAUCUUGGACACAUAAAGCCUCGUUCCAGUUUCAAUUCUAGAAGCCCUGCCACCAGGUCCAAAACUCAGAUCCACACCACCUAACAUAUCAUGAUUCUAAGCAGCAGGAGCAACAUCCGUUGCCUAAAUCAGAUGCACAAAACCUUUACAAACAUCUACAACAUUCCACCCAAUUCAACCAUUAAAUCAACCUAAUCAAACUAACUAAUCAACCUUAGUUGUGCCAUAAGGAGUAGAUCUGUUAACAUCGCGGUUGUUGAAGCGAUGUGCAGGUCCCGGUCCAGAUGCUGGACCACGGUCGCGGCCGUCACUGUCGCCGGACUUCUUGUUUCUCUUGAUUAGGUCGCUGAGUGACAUAUCUAAAGCAGCAUCGGCCAUGAUUAGGUGGAUAAAAGGUGGUAUGUUGAGCGAAUCUGUGGCUGCAGAUGAGAUGAUUGAAGGUGGUGGUGGUUGGAGAGGUGGGUGGUGGAUCUGGAAGAACGAUGGAGGAUAAGAGAGAGUGGUGGUUUGACGGCGCAUCUAGAUCUCCGAUGACGGCGGCGGAGGUGCGGUGGUGGAGGUGUUGAUGGUGGUGGAGGUUGUGCUGCAGGAGUGGAGUGGUGGAGGUGCGGUGGUGACAGUAGAGGUGUGGCGGUGAUGGUGUGUAGAUGGUGCUGGGUGUGUAUGUGUGACUGUGUGAGAGAGAGGAUGAAGGAGAGCUAUUGUCAUUGAUGUAUAUGUAAUAUAUUUUUUUUAAACAUGAUUAUUUGUUUAGGGUAAAAUGUCUAAAAUACCCUCAUGUAGGAUCAACCUGGUCAGAUUUAACUAUAAAAACUAAGCCAGUUAGGGCUAAAGGACAUAACACGCAAGGGUUUGCAAAUAUUGAGUACUGUUCUUGUAUAUAUUGAAGACAAAGGACAUGAUUUGCAAUAACAUACAUACAUAAAGGACGAGUUUUGUAAUUUACUCAUUAAAUUAUAUAGAUGGAGAUAGUGAUUUUGAU
RNAcentral lists this long non-coding RNA (1161 nucleotides) under Helianthus annuus (common sunflower). Its description in RNAcentral is "hypothetical non coding rna". The record is from RNAcentral. Lineage: Eukaryota; Viridiplantae; Streptophyta; Magnoliopsida; Asterales; Asteraceae.